This 467-nucleotide ribosomal RNA is filed under the name uncultured bacterium. RNAcentral describes it as "partial 16S ribosomal RNA". It matches the Rfam family "Bacterial small subunit ribosomal RNA", at positions 28 to 507 of the family's 1533-position model. The record is from RNAcentral.
GAUGAACGCUGGCGGCGUGCUUAACACAUGCAAGUCGAACGGAAAGGCCCAAGCUUGCUUGGGUACUCGAGUGGCGAACGGGUGAGUAACACGUGGGUGAUCUGCCCUGCACUUCGGGAUAAGCCUGGGAAACUGGGUCUAAUACCGGAUAGGACCACAUUUUGGAUGGUGUGGUGGAAAGUUUUCCGGUGUGGGAUGAGCUCGCGGCCUAUCAGCUUGUUGGUGGGGUAAUGGCCUACCAAGGCGUCGACGGGUAGCCGGCCUGAGAGGGUGUACGGCCACAUUGGGACUGAGAUACGGCCCAGACUCCUACGGGAGGCAGCAGUGGGGAAUAUUGCACAAUGGGCGCAAGCCUGAUGCAGCGACGCCGCGUGGGGGAUGACGGCCUUCGGGUUGUAAACUCCUUUCGCUAGGGACGAAGCGUUUUUGUGACGGUACCUGGAGAAGAAGCACCGGCUAACUACGUG